GAUGAAGAACGUAGCGAAAUGCGAUAAGUAGUGUGAAUUGCAGAAUUCAGUGAAUCAUCGAAUCUUUGAACGCACAUUGCGCCCUUUGGUAUUCCUUAGGGCAUGCCUGUUCGAGCGUCAUUUAAACCUUCAAGCUCAGCUUGGUGUUGGGUGACUGUCCGCUUCACCGCAGACUCGCCUCAAAAUUAUUGGCGGCCGGUACAUUGGCUUCGAGCGCAGCAGAAACGCGAACUCGGGCCCGUCGUAUUGGCUCCCAGAAGCUAUCUUCACAAUUUUGACCUCGGAUCAGGUAGGGAUACCCGCUGAACUUAAGCAUAUCAAUAAGCGGAGGA
RNAcentral lists this unclassified non-coding RNA (332 nucleotides) under soil metagenome. RNAcentral's name for it is "partial contains 5.8S ribosomal RNA, internal transcribed spacer 2, and large subunit ribosomal RNA". The stretch from base 1 to 120 matches the Rfam family "5.8S ribosomal RNA", at positions 35 to 154 of the family's 154-position model. The record is from RNAcentral.